GGAUCAGAUUAGCAGCUGGGGCACCGGUUCAGCGGCACGCGCAUCCUGAAGGUAGUGCGUGGAAUUCUCCAGAUCCCCUGGACGUGGGAGGCCCAUGUGGAGAAGCUGGAGACUCUAGAGGUCCUGGAUUCUGGCUCCUGGCACACAGCCUCCAAGCCUAACCCCCCUGUGCCAGCUGGAACAGGAUCAAGCAGGCUCAGGUGUCUGCUGCACAUGCUACUUUUCUGGGACUGCCUAGGAACUGUGUGCUCUUCCUGUCCUCCCCAGGGUGUACCUCAUUCCAGUGCGGGGGCUCUGGACAGCCCAGGUUGGUGGCAUCCCCACCCUGGUACUCACACAGGUGGUGCUCUUCAAAGUGAUGUCAUUAGAAAAGACAUUUCUGCCAUUGUUCAGGCUGGCUUCAACAAAGACCUCCCUAAAGCACAGAAAGCGAAGAUGGUGACAGCCAGCCCAGGGAGAUGCAGUUCUUGCCCUCGAGUCCGUUGGCUUAACUCUGAAAGGUGACCUGGAGCAACGGUACCAUUCCUCGGGCAAUCAUCUCCGGCAUCUUGCCCUCCUCACAGACCCUAGGACACUGCAGAUCUCUAGGACACUGCAGAUCCCUAGGACACUGCGGAUCCCUGAACACCUUGGGGGCCACCAACAAGGGAGGUGAGCACUGUGUCCUUAGACCAGCCGCAGACACGUGCUGCCCCAGCAGGGGGGCAUCCACAUUCUGUACACCUCACGGUGCCCAACCGUGACCCUUGGCCUCCUGCCCUCUAGGGCCUCCUGCCAGAGAUUCUUACUGUCCAGGUUGUUUUUAAUCUUUGGUCCAGGGCAAGUCAUGAAAGUCUUGUCCAUACUGAUUUUUUUUUUUUUUUCUAAAAGGAAAUGACGUGGGAAGAAUGUCGAUGCACAUGUUCGUCCACUGUCCCUCCCACCUCCGGUCCUCAUCACACAGAGCUGACCCCGUGGUCCACGACCGGCAUCUGGGCUCUGCUUUCCUAUUGCAGAGACCCCUAUGAGCACCCGCCACACCCAGGCCCUGUGCAGCGCUCUGCUGUGUAACAGGAACAGGCAGGCAGAGUCCCUGCUCUCAAGAACUCACCUUUAAGGACUGCGUGGGAGACAGACAACAAAAUUAAAAAUAGAGAACAAAAUAGAUGGCAGAGUGUGAUGUGCUGUGAUGUCCAUGAGCAGAGGGAAGGAGAGGCAUGGAGGGGAAGGGACAGCCACUUCGUCACAGGCGACCAGAAGCAUUCGUGUGAUGCUCCACAGUUUCUUCAAUCCCAUUUCAUUUUCUUUUUCUUCCGUCAUAUUUAAGCAAAAUUAAAUUUAUUAUGCUGUAGUUGAAAAUGUUAAUAGCACUUGUCUUUGGGUUUGGGAUUUGGG
Molecule: long non-coding RNA, 1374 nt
Filed under: Macaca mulatta (Rhesus monkey)
Lineage: Eukaryota; Metazoa; Chordata; Mammalia; Primates; Cercopithecidae
Description: lncRNA (ENSMMUG00000053938.1)
Source: RNAcentral